Molecule: unclassified non-coding RNA, 556 nt
Filed under: Hevea brasiliensis (rubber tree)
Lineage: Eukaryota; Viridiplantae; Streptophyta; Magnoliopsida; Malpighiales; Euphorbiaceae
Source: RNAcentral
CAGGGUUCCUGAAGGGCGACGAGCAUCGGCGUUUGGAAUCCUUUCAGGUAUUGGAUCUUCGGCGUUCGUUUGUGGAACACUCUCUACUCGUUUCCUCUCCACUGCCUCCACUUUCCAGGUUGCGGCCUCAGUGGCAAUCGUGGCCUUAGUGUACAUGAGGGUUUUCCUUCAGGAUUCAAUCGUUGAUGGAAACAUUUCCACACCAAUACUCUCCAAUGGAAAGAGCAAAGUUGAUGUGAUUGGAAAUUCAAGUAAGAACGUGCAGAUUUUUAAAACCAUGCCUUCCUUGGAGGAUAUGCUUUGCUUGCUUAAGAGCAGUGUUACGUUGUCACAAGCUGCUGUGGUUGCAUUUUUCAUCAAUUUUUCGGAAGUUGGCCUUCAUGCUUCGCUAAUGUACUACUUAAAGGCACGAUUUCACUUUAAUAAGAAUCAGUUUGCUGACUUAAUGGUAAUUUCUGGGAUUGCUGGGACCAUUUCACAGUUGCUUCUCAUGCCCAUGCUGGCUCCUGCUUUAGGAGAGGGGAGGUUGCUUUCAAUAGGUCUCUUCUUUACAUGC